GGGGAUUUAGCUCAGCGGCAUAAGCACCUGCCUUGCAAGCAGGCAGCGUGAGUUCGAUUCCCAGUACCA
Molecule: non-coding RNA, 69 nt
Organism: Cavia porcellus (domestic guinea pig)
Lineage: Eukaryota; Metazoa; Chordata; Mammalia; Rodentia; Caviidae
Source: Rfam